UAAAUGUUUGACCAAAUAUAGUAGGCUAAUUUUAGGGCUAAGUUGAUACUUUUGUAUGGCUUGUGAAUGAUGUUAUAAAUAUCCAAGUGGCCCUUGGCAG
Molecule: long non-coding RNA, 100 nt
Organism: Myotis brandtii (Brandt's bat)
Lineage: Eukaryota; Metazoa; Chordata; Mammalia; Chiroptera; Vespertilionidae
Exons: 2
Source: RefSeq, a predicted model, not a curated record